UCCCCAAGUAGGGAAUAACUCUGAGAAAUUAGAGCUAAUACCCUAUGUGGUGGUGGGGGUAAUGCCCCAUCACUAAAGCCUUCGGGCGCCUGGGGAGGGGCUUGCGUCCGAUUAGCUGGUUGGUAGGGUAACGGCUUACCAAGGCGAGGAUCGGUAGCUGGUUUGAGAGGACGGUCAGCCACACUGGGACUGAGACACGGCCCAGACUCCUACGGGAGGCAGCAGCAAGGAAUAUUGUGCAAUGGGCGAAAGCCUGACACAGCGACGCCGCGUGGGGGAUGAAGGCUUUCGGGUUGUAAACCCCUUUUCUCAGGGAAGAACAAUGACGGUACCUGAGGAAUAAGUCUCGGCUAACUACGUGCCAGCAGCCGCGGUAAUACGUAGGAGGCGAGCGUUAUCCGGAUUUACUGGGCGUAAAGCGGGCGUAGGCGGUCCUUCAAGUCGGAUGUAAAAUCUCCCGGCUCAACUGGGAUGGACCAUUCGAAACUGCUGGGCUUGAGGAUAGCAGAGGGAGGUGGAAUUCCCGGUGUAGUGGUGAUAUGCGUAGAUAUCGGGAGGAACACCAGUGGCGAAGGCGGCCUCCUGGGCUAUUUCUGACGCUGAGGCCCAAAAGCGUGGGGAGCGAACAGGAUUAGAUACCCUGGUAGUCCACGCUGUAAACGAUGGACACUAGGUAUGGGGAGUAUCGACCCUCUCCGUGCCGAAGCUAACGCCUUAAGU
RNAcentral lists this ribosomal RNA (720 nucleotides) under uncultured bacterium. Its description in RNAcentral is "bacterial SSU rRNA". It matches the Rfam family "Bacterial small subunit ribosomal RNA", at positions 129 to 865 of the family's 1533-position model. The record is from RNAcentral.